RNAcentral lists this ribosomal RNA (253 nucleotides) under uncultured bacterium. RNAcentral's name for it is "partial 16S ribosomal RNA". It matches the Rfam family "Bacterial small subunit ribosomal RNA", at positions 524 to 776 of the family's 1533-position model. The record is from RNAcentral.
UACGAGGGGAGCUAGCGUUGUUCGGAAUUACUGGGCGUAAAGGGCGCGUAGGCGGUACCAUAAGUCAGAUGUGAAAGCCCCGGGCUUAACCUGGGAGGUGCAUUUGAUACUGUGGAACUGGAGAUCGAGAGAGGAAAGCGGAAUUACGAGUGUAGAGGUGAAAUUCGUAGAUAUUCGUAAGAACACCAGUGGCGAAGGCGGCUUUCUGGCUCGAAACUGACGCUAAGGCGCGAAAGCGUGGGGAGCAAACAGG